This 434-nucleotide ribosomal RNA is filed under the name uncultured Lachnospiraceae bacterium. RNAcentral's name for it is "partial 16S ribosomal RNA". It matches the Rfam family "Bacterial small subunit ribosomal RNA", at positions 341 to 792 of the family's 1533-position model. Lineage: Bacteria; Bacillati; Bacillota; Clostridia; Lachnospirales; Lachnospiraceae. The record is from RNAcentral.
ACGGGAGGCAGCAGUGGGGAAUAUUGGACAAUGGGGGAAACCCUGAUCCAGCGACGCCGCGUGAGUGAAGAAGUAUUUCGGUAUGUAAAGCUCUAUCAGCAGGGACGAUAAUGACGGUACCUGACUAAGAAGCCCCGGCUAACUACGUGCCAGCAGCCGCGGUAAUACGUAGGGGGCAAGCGUUAUCCGGAUUUACUGGGUGUAAAGGGAGCGUAGGUGGCCAUGCAAGUCAGAUGUGAAAACCCGGGGCUCAACCCCGUGACUGCAUUUGAAACUGCGUGGCUGGAGUACAGGAGAGGUAAGCGGAAUUCCUAGUGGAGCGGUGAAAUGCGUAGAUAUUAGGAGGAACACCAGUGGCGAAAGCGGCUUACUGGACUGAAACUGACACUGAGGCUCGAAAGCGUGGGGAGCAAACAGGAUUAGAUACCCUGGUA